CCUACGGGAGGCAGCAGUGAGGAAUAUUGGUCAAUGGACGAGAGUCUGAACCAGCCAAGUAGCGUGAAGGAUGACUGCCCUAUGGGUUGUAAACUUCUUUUAUAUGGGAAUAAAAUGUUCCACGUGUGGGAUUUUGUAUGUACCAUAUGAAUAAGGAUCGGCUAACUCCGUGCCAGCAGCCGCGGUAAUACGGAGGAUCCGAGCGUUAUCCGGAUUUAUUGGGUUUAAAGGGAGCGUAGGUGGAUUGUUAAGUCAGUUGUGAAAGUUUGCGGCUCAACCGUAAAAUUGCGGUUGAAACUGGCAGUCUUGAGUACAGUAGAGGUGGGCGGAAUUCGUGGUGUAGCGGUGAAAUGCUUAGAUAUCACGAAGAACUCCGAUUGCGAAGGCAGUUCACUGGACUGCAACUGACACUGAGGCUCGAAAGUGUGGGUAUCAAACAGGAUUAGAUACCCGAGUAGUC
This 460-nucleotide ribosomal RNA is filed under the name uncultured bacterium. Its description in RNAcentral is "partial 16S ribosomal RNA". It matches the Rfam family "Bacterial small subunit ribosomal RNA", at positions 338 to 795 of the family's 1533-position model. The record is from RNAcentral.